RNAcentral lists this ribosomal RNA (1424 nucleotides) under Torulaspora delbrueckii. RNAcentral describes it as "SSU rRNA". It matches the Rfam family "Eukaryotic small subunit ribosomal RNA", at positions 1 to 1456 of the family's 1831-position model. The record is from RNAcentral. Lineage: Eukaryota; Fungi; Ascomycota; Saccharomycetes; Saccharomycetales; Saccharomycetaceae.
UCUGGUUGAUCCUGCCAGUAGUCAUAUGCUUGUCUCAAAGAUUAAGCCAUGCAUGUCUAAGUAUAAGCAAUUUAUACAGUGAAACUGCGAAUGGCUCAUUAAAUCAGUUAUCGUUUAUUUGAUAGUUCCUUUACUACAUGGUAUAACUGUGGUAAUUCUAGAGCUAAUACAUGCUUAAAAUCUCGACCUUUGGAAGAGAUGUAUUUAUUAGAUAAAAAAUCAAUGUCUUCGGACUCUUUGAUGAUUCAUAAUAACUUUUCGAAUCGCAUGGCCUUGUGCUGGCGAUGGUUCAUUCAAAUUUCUGCCCUAUCAACUUUCGAUGGUAGGAUAGUGGCCUACCAUGGUUUCAACGGGUAACGGGGAAUAAGGGUUCGAUUCCGGAGAGGGAGCCUGAGAAACGGCUACCACAUCCAAGGAAGGCAGCAGGCGCGCAAAUUACCCAAUCCUAAUACAGGGAGGUAGUGACAAUAAAUAACGAUACAGGGCCCAUUCGGGUCUUGUAAUUGGAAUGAGUACAAUGUAAAUACCUUAACGAGGAACAAUUGGAGGGCAAGUCUGGUGCCAGCAGCCGCGGUAAUUCCAGCUCCAAUAGCGUAUAUUAAAGUUGUUGCAGUUAAAAAGCUCGUAGUUGAACUUUGGGCCUGGUUGGCCGGUCCGAUUUUUUCGUGUACUGGUUUCCAACCGGGCCUUUCCUUCUGGCUAACCUUGGGUCCUUGUGGCCCUUGGCGAACCAGGACUUUUACUUUGAAAAAAUUAGAGUGUUCAAAGCAGGCGUAUUGCUCGAAUAUAUUAGCAUGGAAUAAUAGAAUAGGACGUUUGGUUCUAUUUUGUUGGUUUCUAGGACCAUCGUAAUGAUUAAUAGGGACGGUCGGGGGCAUCAGUAUUCAAUUGUCAGAGGUGAAAUUCUUGGAUUUAUUGAAGACUAACUACUGCGAAAGCAUUUGCCAAGGACGUUUUCAUUAAUCAAGAACGAAGUUAGGGGAUCGAAGAUGAUCAGAUACCGUCGUCGUCUUAACCAUAAACUAUGCCGACUAGGGAUCGGGUGGUGUUUUUUACUGACCACUCGCACCUUACGAGAAAUCAAAGUCUUUGGGUUCUGGGGGGGAGUAGGUCCGCAAGGCUGAAACUUAAAGGAAUUGACGGAAGGGCACCACCAGGAGUGGAGCCGGCGGCUUAUUGACUCAACCGGGAAACUCACCAGGUCCAGACCACAAUAAGGAUUGACAGAUUGAGAGCUCUUUCUUGAUUUUGUGGGUGGUGGUGCAUGGCCGUUCUUAGUUGGUUGAGUGAUUUGUCUGGCUUAAAUUCUGCGAUAAACGAAACGAUACCUUAACCUCCUAAAUAGUGUGGCUAGCAAUUUGGCUGGUUAUCCACUUCUAGCGGGACUAUCGGUUUCAAGCCGUGGAAAGUUUGACGGCCAAUAA